Molecule: ribosomal RNA, 388 nt
Filed under: uncultured soil bacterium
Lineage: Bacteria
Description: bacterial SSU rRNA
Rfam family: Bacterial small subunit ribosomal RNA
Source: RNAcentral
CUACCCUUGACAUGCCAGGGAGCCCGAUGAGAGUCGGGUGUGCCCGAAAGGGAGCCUGGACACAGGUGCUGCAUGGCUGUCGUCAGCUCGUGUCGUGAGAUGUUGGGUUAAGUCCCGCAACGAGCGCAACCCUUGUCACUAGUUGCCACGCAAGGGCACUCUAGUGAGACUGCCGGUGACAAACCGGAGGAAGGUGGGGAUGACGUCAAGUCCUCAUGGCCCUUAUGGGUAGGGCUUCACACGUCAUACAAUGGCGCAUACAGAGGGUUGCCAACCCGCGAGGGGGAGCCAAUCCCAGAAAGUGCGUCGUAGUCCGGAUUGUUCUCUGCAACUCGAGAGCAUGAAGUCGGAAUCGCUAGUAAUCGCGGAUCAGCAUGUCGCGGUGAAU